This 460-nucleotide small RNA is filed under the name Aplysilla sp. GW33410. RNAcentral's name for it is "sequence contains 28S rRNA gene". The record is from RNAcentral. Lineage: Eukaryota; Metazoa; Porifera; Demospongiae; Dendroceratida; Darwinellidae. RNAcentral also lists the same sequence under 1 other name.
AAAAGAACUUUGGAGAGAGAGUUAAAUAGUGCGUGAAACUGUUGGGAGGGAAGUGAAUGAGGCCAGCUGGUCCUCUGCGGGUUCAGGCGGAUCGAUGAGUGCCCUCUGGCGAAGGGAUCCCACUAGGGACUAUAGCCAGUGGGACCACUUGUCGCUCCAAGCUGUACUCCCACGUGGACCAGUCAGCGGCAGUUUCUGCUGAGUCGUGUGCAUCAAGAGGCAGUUGGCCGAGUCCCCUGGGGCUCGGUUCUGGCCUUCAAGGCAUGGCUUGGUGGAGUCUGAGGAGAGUGGCGGCCCUCGCCCGAGCAGCGCAAGCCACAGGGCCGGACGGCUGCGACAACUGUGUCAGACCGGUGGGGACUGCUUGCGGUGCCCGCUGAGCGAGACGGAGGAGUUGCGGUGCAGUCACGAUGUGCGCUGAUGUCGCUGGCACCUAGCCGGUCCCAUCCGACCCGUCUUG